Molecule: transfer RNA, 86 nt
Filed under: Tissierellia bacterium
Lineage: Bacteria; Bacillati; Bacillota; Tissierellia
Description: tRNA-Leu
Rfam family: tRNA
About the family: Transfer RNA (tRNA) molecules are approximately 80 nucleotides in length. Their secondary structure includes four short double-helical elements and three loops (D, anti-codon, and T loops). Further hydrogen bonds mediate the characteristic L-shaped molecular structure. tRNAs have two regions of fundamental functional importance: the anti-codon, which is responsible for specific mRNA codon recognition, and the 3' end, to which the tRNAs corresponding amino acid is attached (by aminoacyl-tRNA synthetases). tRNAs cope with the degeneracy of the genetic code in two manners: having more than one tRNA (with a specific anti-codon) for a particular amino acid; and 'wobble' base-pairing, i.e. permitting non-standard base-pairing at the 3rd anti-codon position.
Source: RNAcentral
GCGGUUGUGGCGGAACGGCAGACGCACUAGCUUGAGGGGCUAGCGAAUGUAUAUUCGUGGGGGUUCAAGUCCCCCCAACCGCACCA